This 247-nucleotide ribosomal RNA is filed under the name uncultured bacterium. Its description in RNAcentral is "partial 16S ribosomal RNA". It matches the Rfam family "Bacterial small subunit ribosomal RNA", at positions 15 to 252 of the family's 1533-position model. The record is from RNAcentral.
GAUCCUGGCUCAGGAUGAACGCUAGCUACAGGCUUAACACAUGCAAGUCGAGGGGCAGCAUUUCAGUUUGCUUGCAAACUGGAGAUGGCGACCGGCGCACGGGUGAGUAACACGUAUCCAACCUGCCGAUAACUCGGGGAUAGCCUUUCGAAAGAAAGAUUAAUACCCGAUAGUAUAAUGAAACCGCAUGGUCUUAUUAUUAAAGAAUUUCGGUUAUCGAUGGGGAUGCGUUCCAUUAGGCAGUUGG